Non-coding RNA from Myotisia sp. PD_48, 72 nucleotides. NCBI's taxonomy places the organism in Eukaryota, Fungi, Ascomycota, Eurotiomycetes, Onygenales. The record is from the annotation of a GenBank genome assembly.
GGUUCCAUAGUCUAGUGGUUAUGACUCUCGGUUCUGAUCCGAGCAGCCCCGGUUCGAACCCGGGUGGGACCU